AUUGAACGCUGGCGGCAGGCCUAACACAUGCAAGUCGAGCGGUUGACGGGAGCUUGCUCCCUGAUUCAGCGGCGGACGGGUGAGUAAUGCCUAGGAAUCUGCCUAUUAGUGGGGGACAACGUUUCGAAAGGAACGCUAAUACCGCAUACGUCCUACGGGAGAAAGCAGGGGACCUUCGGGCCUUGCGCUAAUAGCUGAGCCUAGGUCGGAUUAGCUUGUUGGUGAGGUAAUGGCUCACCAAGGCGACGAUCCGUAACUGGUCUGAGAGGAUGAUCAGUCACACUGGAACUGAGACACGGUCCAGACUCCUACGGGAGGCAGCAGUGGGGAAUAUUGGACAAUGGGCGAAAGCCUGAUCCAGCCAUGCCGCGUGUGUGAAGAAGGUCUUCGGAUUGUAAAGCACUUUAAGUUGGGAGGAAGGGUUGUAGAUUAAUACUCUGCAAUUUUGACGUUACCGACGGAAUAAGCACCGGCUAACUCUGUGCCAGCAGCCGCAGUAA
Molecule: ribosomal RNA, 500 nt
Filed under: uncultured bacterium
Lineage: Bacteria
Description: partial 16S ribosomal RNA
Rfam family: Bacterial small subunit ribosomal RNA
Source: RNAcentral